UGGCGAUGUCAUGCUUAUAAUUGAAAUGCCAUGCUGGAGCCUCGGUGGGUGGAGUCUGGUGGAAACCGUCAGAACUGGUCUCUCCAGCUGGAUGCUUAGCCAUUUCAGAGCCACCCCAUGCUCUGGGUGGCCCUAAGCCUCUGACUGGGAGUGGAUGACAGGGGUGGAUCACUCGCUAACUGGGAUCCGAAAAUUGCAUGUGCAAGAAGAAUACUAUUGCUGAAAAAUCUGGCCCAAAAGCGUCUCUGGCCAAAAGCAGACGGAAGCUCUGUUGAUGUUACUGGUGUCUGAUUAUGCAUGAAGAGGUGAAUACAGAUGGGAGCAGAGGACUGGCCAGAGUGGAUCAGACCAAUGGACCAUUUGGUUUCACAUCCUGGC
Long non-coding RNA from Malaclemys terrapin pileata, 378 nucleotides. RefSeq lists it as uncharacterized. The transcript is spliced from 3 exons. Lineage: Eukaryota; Metazoa; Chordata; Testudines; Emydidae. The record is from RefSeq and is a predicted model, not a curated record.